RNAcentral lists this ribosomal RNA (901 nucleotides) under Arion fuscus. Its description in RNAcentral is "partial 16S ribosomal RNA". The stretch from base 359 to 517 matches the Rfam family "Archaeal large subunit ribosomal RNA", at positions 1883 to 2090 of the family's 2987-position model. Lineage: Eukaryota; Metazoa; Mollusca; Gastropoda; Stylommatophora; Arionidae. The record is from RNAcentral.
AUUUUCGAUUCCGAAAUAAGAAGAUCUAUCUAUGAUGUAUUUAUAUGUUGCAUAAUAUAUAAAGAACGUAUAGAUAGGAGUGAAAGGCUUUCAAUUCUUGUGAUAUCUGAUUAAUAGUUAAAUAUAUUUAGUAUAGGCCAAAUUCUUAUAUAUAUAAUGUUAAGAUUAUAUAUAAACAUAAAUUAAUUUUGUUAAAUCACCUUUAAAAUAAGUUUAAUGGGUCAUAUAUAGAUAAAAAUAAAUUUAUUGACAUUUAUGUUAAGUAGCUAUUGACUAGCCUUAACAGUCAGUCGAAGUAAAUAAUGUAAAGAUUAGUAGAUACUACACAAAAUAUAAAUAAGGAACUCGGCAAAUAAUGGCCGCUCAACUGUUUAACAAAAACAUAGCUUGAUGUAAUAAAUAUUAAGUAAUGUCUGCCCGGUGAGAAAUUUAACGGCCGCAGUACUUUGACUGUGCUAAGGUAGCAAAAUAAAUAGGCUUUUAAUUAAGGUCGAGUAUGAAUGGUAACAUGGGUGGCAGCUGUCUCAUUUUGUAAAAUUUUAAUUUAAUUAGUAGGUGAAAAUGCCUACCUAAAUACAUUAGACGAGAAGACCCUUAGAGUUUUUAAAACUUUAACUAGUAAGUAUUUAUGAAUUUUUUGUUGGGGCGACACAGUAGUACUUUAACCUACUUAGAUACACAUAUUACGGGACUUUAUUGAAAACAUAUGAAUAUAACUACCUAAGGGAUAACAGCAUAAUUUUUUUUUAAGAUUGUGACCUCGAUGUUGGACUAGGAAAUAGGUGUAUUAGUCAUAUACCUUAUAAUAUUCUGUUCGAAUAAAUUUUACCUACAUGAUCUGAGUUCAGACCGGUGCAAGCCAGGUCAGUUUCUAUCUAUUUAAUUGAUAGGGUUAGUACGA